RNAcentral lists this ribosomal RNA (1340 nucleotides) under uncultured bacterium. Its description in RNAcentral is "bacterial SSU rRNA". It matches the Rfam family "Bacterial small subunit ribosomal RNA", at positions 28 to 1381 of the family's 1533-position model. The record is from RNAcentral.
GAUGAACGCUGGCGGCGUGCUUAACACAUGCAAGUCGAACGGUGAAGCAGAGCUUGCUCUGUGGAUCAGUGGCGAACGGGUGAGUAACACGUGAGCAAUCUGCCCCUGACUCUGGGAUAAGCGCUGGAAACGGCGUCUAAUACCGGAUACGAGCUGCGACCGCAUGGUCAGUAGCUGGAGAGAAUUUCGGUCAGGGAUGAGCUCGCGGCCUAUCAGCUUGUUGGUGAGGUAAUGGCUCACCAAGGCGUCGACGGGUAGCCGGCCUGAGAGGGUGACCGGCCACACUGGGACUGAGACACGGCCCAGACUCCUACGGGAGGCAGCAGUGGGGAAUAUUGCACAAUGGGCGCAAGCCUGAUGCAGCAACGCCGCGUGAGGGAUGACGGCCUUCGGGUUGUAAACCUCUUUUAGCAGGGAAGAAGCGAAAGUGACGGUACCUGCAGAAAAAGCGCCGGCUAACUACGUGCCAGCAGCCGCGGUAAUACGUAGGGCGCAAGCGUUAUCCGGAAUUAUUGGGCGUAAAGAGCUCGUAGGCGGUCUGUCGCGUCUGCUGUGAAAACCCGAGGCUCAACCUCGGGCCUGCAGUGGGUACGGGCAGACUAGAGUGCGGUAGGGGAGAUUGGAAUUCCUGGUGUAGCGGUGGAAUGCGCAGAUAUCAGGAGGAACACCGAUGGCGAAGGCAGAUCUCUGGGCCGUAACUGACGCUGAGGAGCGAAAGGGUGGGGAGCAAACAGGCUUAGAUACCCUGGUAGUCCACCCCGUAAACGUUGGGAACUAGUUGUGGGGUCCAUUCCACGGAUUCCGUGACGCAGCUAACGCAUUAAGUUCCCCGCCUGGGGAGUACGGCCGCAAGGCUAAAACUCAAAGGAAUUGACGGGGACCCGCACAAGCGGCGGAGCAUGCGGAUUAAUUCGAUGCAACGCGAAGAACCUUACCAAGGCUUGACAUAUAGAGGAAACGUCUGGAAACAGUCGCCCCGCAAGGUCUCUAUACAGGUGGUGCAUGGUUGUCGUCAGCUCGUGUCGUGAGAUGUUGGGUUAAGUCCCGCAACGAGCGCAACCCUCGUUCUAUGUUGCCAGCACGUAAUGGUGGGAACUCAUGGGAUACUGCCGGGGUCAACUCGGAGGAAGGUGGGGAUGACGUCAAAUCAUCAUGCCCCUUAUGUCUUGGGCUUCACGCAUGCUACAAUGGCCGGUACAAAUGGCUGCAAUACCGUGAGGUGGAGCGAAUCCCAAAAAGCCGGUCCCAGUUCGGAUUGAGGUCUGCAACUCGACCUCAUGAAGUCGGAGUCGCUAGUAAUCGCAGAUCAGCAACGCUGCGGUGAAUACGUUCCCGGGUCU